CAGGACGAACGCUGGCGGCGUGCCUAACACAUGCAAGUCGAGCGAGGAGAUUCCUUCGGGAUGAUCCUAGCGGCGGACGGGUGAGUAACACGUGGGCAACCUGCCUCAUAGAGAGGAAUAGCCUUCCGAAAGGGAGAUUAAUACCUCAUAACAUUGCAGUUUCGCAUGGAACAGCAAUUAAAGGAGCAAUCCGCUAUGAGAUGGGCCCGCGGCGCAUUAGCUAGUUGGUGAGGUAACGGCUCACCAAGGCGACGAUGCGUAGCCGACCUGAGAGGGUGAUCGGCCACAUUGGGACUGAGACACGGCCCAGACUCCUACGGGAGGCAGCAGUGGGGAAUAUUGCACAAUGGGGGAAACCCUGAUGCCAGCAACGCCGCGUGAGUGAUGACGGCCUUCGGGUUGUAAAGCUCUGUCUUCAGGGACGAUAAUGACGGUACCUGAGGAGGAAGCCACGGCUAACUACGUGCCAGCCGCCGC
RNAcentral lists this ribosomal RNA (477 nucleotides) under uncultured bacterium. RNAcentral describes it as "bacterial SSU rRNA". It matches the Rfam family "Bacterial small subunit ribosomal RNA", at positions 25 to 518 of the family's 1533-position model. The record is from RNAcentral.